GUUCAAUCUUCCAUUUACAUUUUCUUGCUUUUCACUUCUCACUCCUCUCACGGCCAAAACUCUCUGUUCUUCCAUUAGAUCUCCGGCUUGUCUUAAUGAUGACUCUAACAGAGAAAUUAAAAUCCUUAAACGACCCUUUUGCUCUUCUUGUUUAUUGUUCAUCGAUGAUCUUCUCUUUCUAUUGUCAGCCAUUCGAUUUUCUCUUUCUCUUUCUGUUUGUUCGAAUCUCUUUAGCAAAUUUGUAUUAAGGAUGCUCAGAUCACCAAUCAUUUUAGUGGCAGUGGUUUCACUCUUAAGAGUCCCAAUCUGGUUUGGGUACUGUUCACAAACGAGAUAUCUACUGUUCAUGACUAAAUGUCUUCUCUAUAUUACUUGUUUUCCUCCCGUUGUCUUCUUAAAAGGGGGAAAAAAUAGAAGAAGGCAUUUACCUUAAUCUCUGCCUCUCUUUCAUUUGCCGUCGAAAUUCCAAAGUUUCGACAAUCAAUCUUCGUCCAGUGUUGUCUUCGACGUUUCUUCGGCCGACCAGCAUCAUGAUGAACAAAGGGUAAACCGAGGUUACACUAGACAUCGAUUUUUUUUUUCUUUCAAGUUUUGUUUGGGUGGGGGGUGUUUAUUGUUGAACAUUUUCAUAAUUUAAUUGAUGUCUUUGCGAUUUUUCUGCUUUAUCGAUUUCAUUUCUGGAUUUGAUUUAAGAAUCGGUGUCCUUUGAAGGUUUCUUCAAUCAUACUAAUUUCUUUUUCAAGUUAAUAAUCUAGCGCAACUCAAUUAUUUAAAGCCCAUAAUGUUCUAGGGUUUCAACUUCAUCCACAUCCAGUCACCUUAUUGGAGUUUCCUCAACACUAAGCAGUGGAAGAAGCAGCACCACCAUAACGGAAGCGGCUGUUUAACGACGCAGAAGUANAUUUUUUUCUUAUA
This 915-nucleotide long non-coding RNA is filed under the name Olea europaea subsp. europaea. Lineage: Eukaryota; Viridiplantae; Streptophyta; Magnoliopsida; Lamiales; Oleaceae. The record is from RNAcentral.